Molecule: long non-coding RNA, 1084 nt
Filed under: Marmota monax (woodchuck)
Lineage: Eukaryota; Metazoa; Chordata; Mammalia; Rodentia; Sciuridae
Source: RNAcentral
UGUGGCUCAAGCGAUAAUGCACUCGCCUGGCAUGCGUGCGGCCCGGAUUCGAUCCUCAGCACCACGUACAAACAAAGAUGUUGUGUCCGCCGAUAAUUAAAAAAUAAAUAUUAAAAAAAAAAAGAAUGUGAUUCAAAAUUGGGUGGUGACCUGAAUAGACAAGCAAAACACAACUACAUGAAAAAAUGCUCAACAUCACUAAUUGUCAGGGGCCUGCAAAUGAAAACCACAAUGAGAGAGUACCUCUCCCUAGUUAGAAUGGUUAUUAAUGAAAAAUAAAAAAAAGAUUAAAAAAAUUCUGGUGAGGUUUCAGAGAAAGGGAAAUUCUUAUAUACUGUUGGUAGAAACAUAAGUUAGUAUGGCCAUUGUGGAAAACAGUAUGGCGGUUCCUCCAAAAACUGGAAAUAGAACUACAUGUGAUUCAGCAAUCACUACUUGGUGUAUAUCCAAAGGAACUGAAAUAAUUAUGCCAAAGAGAGAUCUGCACUCCAUGUUUAUUACAGCACUAUUCACAAUAACCAAGUAAUGGAUUCAACCUAGGUGUCCAUUGGUGGAUAAGUAAAGAAAAUGUGGCAUAUGUACACAAUGGAAUAUUGUUCAGCCACAAAAAAGAACAAAAUUAUGUCACGGGUGGCACCUUGGAUGGAACUGGAAGAAAGACCCUGUGCAUAGGAAGACAAAGGCUGCAUUUUCUCAUUUCCAGGUGGGAGCUAAAAGUUGAUGUGGAAGAAGUAGGGAAAUAGAAUAGUGGUUACCAGAGCCUGAGGAAGGUGUGGGGGAGGGAGGAACGGAGAGAGACAGGGUACAUGGGUGCAGGUGGAUUGAAGGAAACAGUUCCAGUGGUCUGUAGCAUGGUAGGGUAACUAUGGCUGAUGACACUUAAAUGAGUAUUUCAAAAUAACAGCAGAGAGGAUUCUGAAUGUUCCCAACAUGAAGACAUGAUAAAUGUCUGAGGUAAUAGACAUCAAUUGCUCUCAUCUGAUCAUUAUACAUUGUGUACAUGAUUUGAAAUGUUACGUUGUACCCAUAACUAUAUACAGUUACUAUGUGUCAAUUAAAAGUAUAUUAAUAACUAUGCUCACCA